Molecule: ribosomal RNA, 255 nt
Filed under: uncultured bacterium
Lineage: Bacteria
Description: partial 16S ribosomal RNA
Rfam family: Bacterial small subunit ribosomal RNA
Source: RNAcentral
UACGGAGGGUGCGAGCGUUAAUCGGAAUUACUGGGCGUAAAGCGUGCGUAGGCGGUUUGAUAAAGUCGGGUGUGAAAGCCCCCCGGCUCAACUGGGGAGGGUCACUCGAUACUGAUCGACUCGAAGGCAGGAGAGGGUAGUGGAAUUCCCGGUGUAGUGGUGAAAUGCGUAGAUAUCGGGAGGAACACCAGUGGCGAAGGCGACUACCUGGCCUGUUCUUGACGCUGAGGCGCGAAAGCUAGGGGAGCAAACGGG